UGGGGAAUAUUGCACAAUGGGGGGAACCCUGAUGCAGCGACGCCGCGUGAGCGAUGAAGGUUUUCGAAUCGUAAAGCUCUGUCCUUGGAGAAGAUAAUGACGGUAUCCAAGGAGGAAGCACCGGCUAAAUACGUGCCAGCAGCCGCGGUAAUACGUAUGGUGCGAGCGUUGUCCGGAAUUAUUGGGCGUAAAGGGUACGUAGGCGGUUUAUCAAGUCAGAUGUUAAAGCGUGGGGCUCAACCCCAUAAAGCAUUUGAAACUGAUAAACUUGAGUAGUGGAGAGGAAAGUGGAAUUCCUAGUGUAGCGGUGAAAUGCGUAGAUAUUAGGAGGAAUACCAGUUGCGAAGGCGACUUUCUGGACACAAACUGACGCUGAGGUACGAAAGCGUGGGGAGCAAACAGG
This 403-nucleotide ribosomal RNA is filed under the name uncultured Gallicola sp. RNAcentral's name for it is "bacterial SSU rRNA". It matches the Rfam family "Bacterial small subunit ribosomal RNA", at positions 355 to 776 of the family's 1533-position model. Lineage: Bacteria; Bacillati; Bacillota; Tissierellia; Tissierellales; Peptoniphilaceae. The record is from RNAcentral.